This 563-nucleotide ribosomal RNA is filed under the name Saccharomyces cf. cerevisiae/paradoxus. Its description in RNAcentral is "LSU rRNA". It matches the Rfam family "Eukaryotic large subunit ribosomal RNA", at positions 63 to 641 of the family's 3401-position model. Lineage: Eukaryota; Fungi; Ascomycota; Saccharomycetes; Saccharomycetales; Saccharomycetaceae. The record is from RNAcentral.
AAACAACCGGGAUUGCUUAGUAACGGCGAGUGAAGCGGCAAAAGCUCAAAUUUGAAAUCUGGUACCUUCGGUGCCCGAGUUGUAAUUUGGAGAGGGCAACUUUGGGGCCGUUCCUUGUCUAUGUUCCUUGGAACAGGACGUCAUAGAGGGUGAGAAUCCCGUGUGGCGAGGAGUGCGGUUCUUUGUAAAGUGCCUUCGAAGAGUCGAGUUGUUUGGGAAUGCAGCUCUAAGUGGGUGGUAAAUUCCAUCUAAAGCUAAAUAUUGGCGAGAGACCGAUAGCGAACAAGUACAGUGAUGGAAAGAUGAAAAGAACUUUGAAAAGAGAGUGAAAAAGUACGUGAAAUUGUUGAAAGGGAAGGGCAUUUGAUCAGACAUGGUGUUUUGUGCCCUCUGCUCCUUGUGGGUAGGGGAAUCUCGCAUUUCACUGGGCCAGCAUCAGUUUUGGUGGCAGGAUAAAUCCAUAGGAAUGUAGCUUGCCUCGGUAAGUAUUAUAGCCUGUGGGAAUACUGCCAGCUGGGACUGAGGACUGCGACGUAAGUCAAGGAUGCUGGCAUAAUGGUAAU